This is a long non-coding RNA of Perognathus longimembris pacificus (Pacific pocket mouse), 197 nucleotides long. RefSeq lists it as uncharacterized. The transcript is spliced from 3 exons. The record is from RefSeq and is a predicted model, not a curated record. NCBI's taxonomy places the organism in Eukaryota, Metazoa, Chordata, Mammalia, Rodentia, Heteromyidae.
AGCAGAGAAAGAAGAAGGUCUCCCAGGGUGAGAAUAGCAUAGGACUUGCACUGGGAAGGUGGAAGAGAAGUCCCCAGGUAUGGCUCUAGGGUGAGGGGACCCAGGUCUGUCUGGUUGCAGGAGAGCCUGGGGCAAAAAGGUAGAGGUACAAGAGGUAGGGCCUGCUCUUUUCCCAACUCAAACCCACCUACUGUCAU